Molecule: ribosomal RNA, 497 nt
Filed under: uncultured bacterium
Lineage: Bacteria
Description: partial 16S ribosomal RNA
Rfam family: Bacterial small subunit ribosomal RNA
Source: RNAcentral
GACGAACGCUGGCGGCGUGCCUAAUACAUGCAAGUUGAGCGCUGAAGGUUGGUACUUGUACCAACUGGAUGAGCAGCGAACGGGUGAGUAACGCGUGGGGAAUCUGCCUUUGAGCGGGGGACAACAUUUGGAAACGAAUGCUAAUACCGCAUAAAAACUUUAAACACAAGUUUUAAGUUUGAAAGAUGCAAUUGCAUCACUCAAAGAUGAUCCCGCGUUGUAUUAGCUAGUUGGUGAGGUAAAGGCUCACCAAGGCGAUGAUACAUAGCCGACCUGAGAGGGUGAUCGGCCACAUUGGGACUGAGACACGGCCCAAACUCCUACGGGAGGCAGCAGUAGGGAAUCUUCGGCAAUGGACGAAAGUCUGACCGAGCAACGCCGCGUGAGUGAAGAAGGGUUUCGGAUCGUAAAACUCUGUUGCUAGAGAAGAACGUUGGUGAGAGUGGAAAGCUCAUCAAGUGACGGUAACUACCCAGAAAGGGACGGCUAACUACGUG